Molecule: ribosomal RNA, 270 nt
Filed under: uncultured archaeon
Lineage: Archaea
Description: partial 16S ribosomal RNA
Rfam family: Archaeal small subunit ribosomal RNA
Source: RNAcentral
CAGCACCUCAAGUGGUCAGGAUGAUUAUUGGGCCUAAAGCAUCCGUAGCCGGCGCUGUAAGUUUUCGGUUAAAUCUGUACGCUCAACGUACAGGCUGCCGGGAAUACUGCAGCGCUAGGGAGUGGGAGAGGUAGACGGUACUCGGUAGGAAGGGGUAAAAUCCUUUGAUCUAUUGAUGACCACCUGUGGCGAAGGCGGUCUACCAGGACACGUCCGACGGUGAGGGAUGAAAGCUGGGGGAGCAAACCGGAUUAGAUACCCGAGUAGUCC